AGUAACGAGCGCCAGCACGCUUCGGAAUUUUCGUCGCAUUGCCCUGAGUUGCUGUCCGGCAACCCUCUCUUCCGGUGGGGUGCCUCAGGUGACUACUCGGCAACGUUCACGGGUUGCAAGCGGAUUCA
RNAcentral lists this non-coding RNA (128 nucleotides) under Renibacterium salmoninarum. RNAcentral describes it as "SAM-IV sequence". It matches the Rfam family "SAM (S-adenosyl methionine) riboswitch aptamer". Rfam says of the family: SAM-IV is a mRNA element that regulates gene expression via direct sensing of S-adenosylmethionine (SAM or AdoMet). SAM-IV riboswitches share conserved nucleotide positions with the previously described SAM-I riboswitches sequence analysis and molecular recognition experiments suggest that SAM-I and SAM-IV riboswitches share similar ligand binding sites, but have different scaffolds. Lineage: Bacteria; Bacillati; Actinomycetota; Actinomycetes; Micrococcales; Micrococcaceae. The record is from RNAcentral. RNAcentral also lists the same sequence under 1 other name.